RNAcentral lists this ribosomal RNA (253 nucleotides) under uncultured bacterium. RNAcentral describes it as "partial 16S ribosomal RNA". It matches the Rfam family "Bacterial small subunit ribosomal RNA", at positions 524 to 776 of the family's 1533-position model. The record is from RNAcentral.
UACGUAGGGGGCGAGCGUUGUCCGGAUUCAUUGGGCGUAAAGCGCGCGUAGGCGGCCCCGCAAGUCGGCCGUGAAAUCUCCGGGCUCAACUCGGAGGGGUCGGGCGAGACUGCGAGGCUCGAGGUGGGCAGAGGGCAGUGGAAUUCCGGGUGUAGUGGUGGAAUGCGUAGAGAUCCGGAGGAACACCAGUGGCGAAGGCGGCUGCCUGGGCCUGGCCUGACGCUGAGGCGCGAAAGCGUGGGGAGCAAGCCGG